UUGGAACCGCCGAUAAUGAUUCAAUCACAACAUUUUAAUAAUUUUCCCUCAAUAGGUUUUAGUAUUUCCCCCUCAAAAUUUAAGACUCCCUCCAGAAUUUGCCAAGUCUGGAAUUCCCCCGAUUUAACUCCUUCCCUUAGUUAAUAGGUCUACGUUUCUCUUUCCCCAAUUCCUUUCCCCGAUUCAUUCUAUUUCCCCACUUGCAACAAGAGGUUGUGAGUUUGAGUACACGCUGCCCUCCCAGACCCCAUUAACUAAGAUUAUACUGUUUUGUAUCUAACUUCAGAUUCUUCUAUUUCUCCCGGUCUGUUUCUCCCGCUAGAAGAAUCGAGAUUCAAAUCAGAAAAAGUAAAUGAAAUUCGUUUAGCAGCUUCAAUAAUCUUCAGGUAGCCGAGGGAUCAAAAACUGCUGGUGAAGCUAUUGGGAUUGACGUCGUCAGUUAGACAUUUGAUAGGGCAGUCAUCACAGGCUCAAGCUUUAUCUUCAACAUCUUAUCGAGUCUCUUUACAUCCUACACUGCCUACACAACCUACACGGCCUGCUAUUUCAGUUGAUGGAGUCUCUUCGCAGCACGUUGUUCCAUCUUCAUCAUUUGAUGGAGUCUCUUCACAGCAUGUUGUUCGAUCUUCAUCAUCUGAUGGAGUAUCUUCUCAGCCUGCCAUUCCAUCUUCAUCAUCUGAUGUAGUCUCUUCACGGUGAACUAGACAUACUACUAACGAUGAAGAGCCCCAUUGGUUUGUCGAUGUUAUAGGAAAGAAUUGAAGAAAUUCGAAGUCAAAGAACAGAAAGUCUUGAUGAACCUUCACCAAAUGAUGCACUUGGCAUAGUAUUCGGUCCCGAGCACCCCGGCCGUGUUCGAGGUUUAGGCUUGGUUGUAGUUCCAACUGUAGCGUUCAAACAGACAUCUGCGCGAUACCGUCGUGGUUAUGUAGAUUCAUCUAGCACUACCGCUCCAACUCCACAGUGGCAGUAAGAGAUGACAGAUAUGAAAUCAAAAGUAAAUGCACUAAUUAGCUUAUGUGAAAGGAAUAUAGGGAAUAUCCCUGAGCAGUUUUCUCACUUAUUUUCCACUCCUCCACAGGCACCGGACUUAGGAAGUGGUGCCCCAUCAACUGUUGGACCAAGAAGAUCUUCAGAUGAAAGUAAUAAUGAUGAUCGUCCUAGUGUGAAUUAGUGAUUAUUUUGUAGGAUCAACUAUGAAUCUUUUGGAUUUUACUGUGGAAAUACACUUUGAAGCACUAAUAUUUUGAUGAUGUAAUUUUGGUAUA
This is a long non-coding RNA of Nicotiana tabacum (common tobacco), 1268 nucleotides long. RefSeq lists it as uncharacterized. The record is from RefSeq and is a predicted model, not a curated record. NCBI's taxonomy places the organism in Eukaryota, Viridiplantae, Streptophyta, Magnoliopsida, Solanales, Solanaceae.